Molecule: ribosomal RNA, 253 nt
Filed under: uncultured bacterium
Lineage: Bacteria
Description: partial 16S ribosomal RNA
Rfam family: Bacterial small subunit ribosomal RNA
Source: RNAcentral
UACGAAGGGAGCUAGCGUUGUUCGGAAUUACUGGGCGUAAAGGGCAUGUAGGCGGCGAUGUAAGAUAGGGGUGAAAUCCCGGGGCUCAACUCCGGAACUGCCUUUAUGACUGCAUUGCUAGAGUCCGAGAGAGGGUGGCGGAAUAUCCAGUGUAGAGGUGAAAUUCGUAGAUAUUGGAUAGAACACCGGUGGCGAAGGCGGCCACCUGGCUCGGUACUGACGCUGAGGUGCGAAAGCGUGGGGAGCGAACAGG